Molecule: long non-coding RNA, 2221 nt
Filed under: Cricetulus griseus (Chinese hamster)
Lineage: Eukaryota; Metazoa; Chordata; Mammalia; Rodentia; Cricetidae
Description: lncRNA (ENSCGRG00015032920.1)
Source: RNAcentral
UCUGCACUCAACACCACUUGCCACAACGUUAGGCAAUGAUGGAUGUCCUGAUCAUGGUCAACCUGAAACCUUUAUGAGGUAGCAGCAACCUCCUCUAGCCCCUGCCUAAUGGCAGCCACAGUCUGCUCUCUGCUGGGGACGGUGGCUUCCAUAAGAUGCUUCCAUUUCUCUGUGUCUUUGCAAGUUGCUUGUCCUCCUACCGAUGGUCCCAAGAUGUCAUGGCACCAGACAUAGGGAAUCUGUGUGAGUGAUGUCGAUGGUCUGUCUGUCCAGCUUGUCCCUAAAUUGAACCCAAGAAGAGAAGGAUCCUAGAAUCAUCAUUUUGCUGGGACAUCAUCUGUGUUCCACGCCUUGUGGAACACAUUUCUCUCUUCUGUCUGACUUGUCCUCUGAGCAACACUAAGCUCAUAGGAAGAUAUUUUUUUUUUACCUAAUCCGAGAAGAAAGGUGUGACUUAUUCCACUUUGAGGUGGAAAUAGCACCCUAUAACCCAACGCUUUCCAAACCACCAUCUACUAUUCUGGCAAAGGAGAUUCCCCAGGAUCCUAUGCUGGUCUUAGUCACUGUACCAGGCUGAGCUGCUCAAGAGAGCUCAGCAGGACCUCUCAGGAGUUUCUGUCUAGCGGUUUGGAGAUCUGGCUUGCCAUUCUGUUCAAAGUAAUGCGACUACACUGUUCGCCUGCUCCCAUCCACUGGAAUAUGCACUUUUGUUUCGGGACCAGUCUUUCUACUCAGAGUCUUCUGAAGUACCACAAACAUGAGUUGUAGCAGGACGCCACUCUUCUUCUAAGCUGCUCCGUGGGACAGAUGGAAGGACACCAGUGCAUGUCCACAUGUGCAGCUGAUGACCCUAGGAAGAUGGAGCCUCACCCCCACAGUUUGAAGGUUUAGUCUCCUUCACCCAUGGGGUCUCACUCUCUCACAUUUGCCCUUUCUAGACACUUGGUGGAUUUUUCUUAAAACUAGAUGCCAGAGCCAGGGUGAGGGUGUGUGCCGAUAAUCCCGGGACUUUGGAGGCUUAGAUUGGAGAGUAGCCAUAGACUCAAGGCCAUCCUGGGUAAUAUAAGGAACAGUAAUCUAGCUUGGUUGCAGUGUGAGAUCUCUCUCUUUAAAAACUGAGAGUGAACAACAGGACUAGUGUCGGUGUGUCCAUCGUGCACAUAGGUUCUUGUUCCUGGGUUCUUGCCCAGCACAAAAUCAAACCAGGUGGAGCUUGCCUGGUAUUGGGGUUGGAGACAAGAGGAUCAGGCAGUCAAGGUAUGUUCCAACACAAAGAUUGAAGCCAGUGUGGGAGGAAUGACACUAUUUUAAAGAAACAAUCCCUACUCUCAAAUCUUAAUGCCCAUAUCUAAGAAAACAAUGACAUGGCAUCCCAUCACAACCGCAUAUUCCUUGUGAAUCUGAAUACCGUUCAAAUGGAGAAAUGAAAACGGAGCAUCCAGAUGUGCAGUGAAUAUUUUGUGUGACUCACAUCAGGAAUUGGCCUGAGCAUUGAGUUCAUCCCUUGUGCACUGCACUGAGGAGCUGUUCGGUAAGUAUUGAUCAUGUGGGAGGUGUGUGGAGGGAGGUUUGGAGGCUAUGGGGAACCCAGCCUGUGUCAAUAAGUAAGAAUGCAGCCAGCUCUUGAAGCUGUGAGACUCUCUGAUGUUGUGCUACCCCUUUUGGUCCUUCUCUACCAGCUCCGUGUCAUUAGUGCACCUGAUUUGCUGCAGUCCCUGCUUCAACUCAGGCCACAACUGGGUUGGUUAGGUGAGUUUCUGAUUGGGGUGGAGGGACGCUUGCCCUUUAAACCUAUCUGACAUACUUUUGUUCUUCCUUAUUUCUUUCCCCCUUUCCCAUUUAUCAUAAUAAAGAAACAAACAGCUUUCAAACCUGGGCUACCCAGGCAAUGUCCCUGAAAAAAUGUCAUACAUAGAGAGCUGCUUCUCCUGGACCUGGUCUCCACAAUGAGGAUGACUGGGUGGCUGGUCAAGAAUGAAAUUCACACCAGGGCGAGAUUCAGAAUCACAAGAGGGCUGGCAACAUGUCUGUCUGUCCACUGAGUGCUUGUUUCCCUUGUGAGAUGUGAGUACAUUCCCCAGCAAGCAUGGGAAAGAAGCAGCAGGCCUGCUGAGGCUUGCUACCAAGCACUUGGACAUAGAGACAAAGCUUGAGACUAGGCAGACGGCCUGGCACAAGGGGAAAUGAAUAUCACCUUCAUCAAUUCUACUAACAUCCCCCC